This 542-nucleotide long non-coding RNA is filed under the name Ananas comosus (pineapple). RNAcentral describes it as "long non-coding RNA (ACOM_LNC005242)". Lineage: Eukaryota; Viridiplantae; Streptophyta; Magnoliopsida; Poales; Bromeliaceae. The record is from RNAcentral.
UAUUUGGCUACAAUGUCUAAAUGCAUGCAGGACAUGAAUUUUAUUUUAAGAGAAAUAUAGUAUGCUAUUCGUUUCGUUCAUUUUUUUAGAUAAAUAAUUAGACAUCGAACUUGAAAUUUUAGAUACUAACCAUCAAAUUUUUCACCAUUUGCGCUAGAGAUGGUCGAUUUCCGCACGGAGUUUUUUUUUUUUUGAGAGAAAGGUAUCAUGCUACCCGCUUUGUUUAGUUCAUUUAGAAAUAAACUUAUAACUGAAAAUGUGAAUCAACUAGAAUUCGAACUUGGGUCUCGAGUACCAACCACCAAUUAAGCCCUUUUGCCACUUGCGCUAGCUAGGGACGGUCGGUUUUCCGCACGGAGUCGUGAUGCAACAUAUGUCAAUAUAGCCUACAUUUUUUAUGGCAAAGGGUUUGGUGGUUGGUACCUGAGAUCCCAAAUUCGAAUCCUAGUUGAUUCACAUUUCUAACUAAAUUUUUUUCUAAAUGAAAUAAAUAAAGCGGAUAGCGUACUAUCUAUCUCUCUCAAAAAAAAAAAAAAAAAAAA